CGCCCGGGCCGCGGACCGUGCUCAUCUUCGACGAGCUCUCGGACUCCUUGUGCAGGGUGGCCGACCUGGCCGAUUUUGUGAAGAUUGCUCACCCCGAGGCGGCGUUCAGGGAGGCUGCGGAGGAGGCUUGUCGGAGCAUCGGCACCAUGGUGGAGAAGGCGGACGGCAGGAGCCGCGGCCUGUUGAGAGGUGCUGUCGGGAGUGUCGGCCCAGUGUCUUCGCUUGACCCCACGAGGAUGGCUCUCGAUGGAGGUGGGCUCAGGCCCUAUCUGCUCUUCUGGCUGCAGCUGUCUCCUGUGGCUUUAGGUUUACACUUUUACCACCUGGGACACGUUGUUCUCGCACGCUGCCUUCCCUGUACUAACAGU
This 368-nucleotide long non-coding RNA is filed under the name Capra hircus (goat). RNAcentral's name for it is "lncRNA (ENSCHIG00010006054.1)". Lineage: Eukaryota; Metazoa; Chordata; Mammalia; Artiodactyla; Bovidae. The record is from RNAcentral.